This 398-nucleotide ribosomal RNA is filed under the name uncultured bacterium. Its description in RNAcentral is "partial 16S ribosomal RNA". It matches the Rfam family "Bacterial small subunit ribosomal RNA", at positions 523 to 918 of the family's 1533-position model. The record is from RNAcentral.
AUACGUAGGGUGCGAGCGUUGUCCGGAAUUACUGGGCGUAAAGAGCUCGUAGGUGGUUUGUCGCGUCGUCUGUGAAAUUCCGGGGCUUAACUCCGGGCGUGCAGGCGAUACGGGCAUAACUUGAGUACUGUAGGGGAGACUGGAAUUCCUGGUGUAGCGGUGAAAUGCGCAGAUAUCAGGAGGAACACCGGUGGCGAAGGCGAGUCUCUGGGCAGUAACUGACGCUGAGGAGCGAAAGCAUGGGUAGCGAACAGGAUUAGAUACCCUGGUAGUCCAUGCCGUAAACGGUGAGUGCUAGGUGUAGGGGUCUUCCACGACUUCUGUGCCGUAGCUAACGCAUUAAGCGCCCUGCCUGGGGAGUACGGCCGCAAGGCUGAAACUCAAAUGAAUUGACGGGG